GUGAAGAACGUAGCGAAAUGCGAUACUUGGUGUGAAUUGCAGAAUCCCGUGAACCAUCGAGUCUUUGAACGCAAGUUGCGCCCGAAGCCAUUAGGCCGAGGGCACGCCUGCCUGGGCGUCACACGUCGUUGCCCCCCCAUCUACUCCUUCGGGAUUGCGGGGGGCGGAUGAUGGCCUCCCGUGCGCCUCGUCGCGCGGUUGGCAUAAAUGCCAAGUCCUCGGCGACACACGCCACGACAAUCGGUGGUUGCGAAACCUCGGUUGCCCGUCGUGUGCGGUCGUCGCGCAUCGAGGGCUCGAAAAAAUUGCCGGGCUCCGGCUCGGCUUUCAACGCGACCCCAGGUCAGGCGGGGUUACCCGCUGAAUUUAAGCAUAUCAAUAAGCGGAGGA
This 390-nucleotide unclassified non-coding RNA is filed under the name soil metagenome. RNAcentral describes it as "partial contains 5.8S ribosomal RNA, internal transcribed spacer 2, and large subunit ribosomal RNA". The stretch from base 2 to 121 matches the Rfam family "5.8S ribosomal RNA", at positions 37 to 154 of the family's 154-position model. The record is from RNAcentral.